AUGUCCAUCUUUCGCUUCAUUCUCCCAAGAAUAGAAAGAAGUAGAGGCUGGAGAUGCUUUGCUACUGGAAUCCCUUCUGAUUCUAUAGCGGAGCUCAAUAAGGAAAUGGAAUCGAUAUUUGGCGAAUCUCCUUCAGCCAGCCCUUUGGGCUCAAAUCCUCCUCAGCAAGCAGUCCAUCCCACUCCUGCAGCCCGGGAGACACAACCGGGUCUUACCCAUGUUGAUUGCAGUGGCCAGGCAAAGAUGGUUGAUGUCUCACCCAAACAUGACAGUCAGAGAGUAGCUAUAGCCAGCUGCAGGGUCUUGCUAGGCCAGAAGGCAUUUAACUUGGUGGCGUCAAACCAGAUUGCCAAAGGCGAUGUACUUACUGUUGCAAAGAUAGCUGGAAUAACUGGUGCGAAGCAAACUAGUAACCUCAUACCCCUGUGCCACAACAUUAAUCUCUCCCAUGUUCGUGUUGAUCUCACUCUCAAUGAAGAGGACUCUAGUGUUGUCAUAGAAGGGGAAGCCACCACUUGCGGGAAGACAGGGGUUGAAAUGGAAGCAAUGGCUGCAGUGACCAUUGCCGGACUGACGGUUUAUGACAUGUGCAAAGCAGCUUCAAAGGACAUAUGUAUAACAGAUAUCUGUCUCCAGCACAAAUCGGGGGGAAAGAGUGGAAACUGGUCCAGGAAUUAG
Molecule: ribosomal RNA, 678 nt
Filed under: Triticum aestivum (bread wheat)
Lineage: Eukaryota; Viridiplantae; Streptophyta; Magnoliopsida; Poales; Poaceae
Description: partial small subunit ribosomal RNA
Source: RNAcentral